This 427-nucleotide ribosomal RNA is filed under the name uncultured bacterium. RNAcentral describes it as "bacterial SSU rRNA". It matches the Rfam family "Bacterial small subunit ribosomal RNA", at positions 56 to 527 of the family's 1533-position model. The record is from RNAcentral.
UGCAGUCGACGGGUCUUUAGGGACAAGUGGCGGACGGGUGAGUAACGCGUGAGAAUGUGCCUUCAGGAUGGGGAUAACAAUAGGAAACUAAUGCUAAGACCCAAUGUGCCUUAAGGGGUGAAAAAUGAAAAUUGCCUGAAGAGGAGCUCGCGUCUGAUUAGCUAGUUGGGGUGGUAAAAGCGCACCAAGGCGACGAUCAGUAGCUGGUCUGAGAGGAUGAGCAGCCACACUGGGACUGAGACACGGCCCAGACUCCUACGGGAGGCAGCAGUGGGGAAUUUUCCGCAAUGGGCGAAAGCCUGACGGAGCAAUACCGCGUGAGGGAGGAAGGCUCUUGGGUUGUAAACCUCAAAACUUAGGGAAGAAAAAAAUGACGGUACCUAAUAUAAGCAUCGGCUAACUCCGUGCCAGCAGCCGCGGUAAUACG